Molecule: ribosomal RNA, 466 nt
Filed under: uncultured bacterium
Lineage: Bacteria
Description: partial 16S ribosomal RNA
Rfam family: Bacterial small subunit ribosomal RNA
Source: RNAcentral
ACGAACGCUGGCGGCGUGCUUAACACAUGCAAGUCGAACGGAAAGGCCUGCUUUUGUGGGGUGCUCGAGUGGCGAACGGGUGAGUAACACGUGAGUAACCUGCCCUUGACUUUGGGAUAACUUCAGGAAACUGGGGCUAAUACCGGAUAGGAGCUCCUGCUGCAUGGUGGGGGUUGGAAAGUUUCGGCGGUUGGGGAUGGACUCGCGGCUUAUCAGCUUGUUGGUGGGGUAGUGGCUUACCAAGGCUUUGACGGGUAGCCGGCCUGAGAGGGUGACCGGCCACAUUGGGACUGAGAUACGGCCCAGACUCCUACGGGAGGCAGCAGUGGGGAAUAUUGCACAAUGGGCGGAAGCCUGAUGCAGCAACGCCGCGUGCGGGAUGACGGCCUUCGGGUUGUAAACCGCUUUCGCCUGUGACGAAGCGUGAGUGACGGUAAUGGGUAAAGAAGCACCGGCUAACUACGUG